Molecule: long non-coding RNA, 297 nt
Filed under: Gallus gallus (chicken)
Lineage: Eukaryota; Metazoa; Chordata; Aves; Galliformes; Phasianidae
Source: RNAcentral
CAGGUGGGUUCCGUGAGGGAGCGAUGGUGGGACGCGUUGUUAUGAAUCAGAGCGAAAUGUCCUCAUUUGUGUGUCUUAUCCUCACAAAAAGACCCCAAUUCUCACCUAAAUAUUCACAUCUGUGUAUCCUCUCUUCAUAAGACCCAAAUUCCCACAUCUAUGUGUCAUCUCUUCAUAAACAAGGCCCAAAUUUCCACCUAAAUACCCACAUCUGUGUGUCCUCUUCCUAAAUAACACCCAAAUUCCCACCUAAACACCCAAAUUUGUCUAUUUUCUCUUCAUAAGACCCCAAAUUCC